GUGAAUCAUCGAAUUUUUGAACGCAAAUUGCACUCUCUUCGGAGAGUAUGCCUGUUUGAGGGUCAGCCUAUAAAAAAUCGACAUCGUCGCUGUUUCGCGGUGACGUUCGUCGGAAAUUGGGUCAUCUUAAACCCUUGUGGUUUUUAGGCGGCUUAAAUUUUUGUUUUCGUUUCAUCGAAGGUUUCUAAGUUUUUUUCUUUACACGUUU
Molecule: unclassified non-coding RNA, 208 nt
Filed under: Glomus sp.
Lineage: Eukaryota; Fungi; Glomeromycota; Glomeromycetes; Glomerales; Glomeraceae
Description: partial contains 5.8S ribosomal RNA and internal transcribed spacer 2
Rfam family: 5.8S ribosomal RNA (bases 1-65)
Source: RNAcentral